Molecule: unclassified non-coding RNA, 221 nt
Filed under: Hevea brasiliensis (rubber tree)
Lineage: Eukaryota; Viridiplantae; Streptophyta; Magnoliopsida; Malpighiales; Euphorbiaceae
Source: RNAcentral
GGUGAGCAACCGGGGAAGCACUGAUGCCAGAAAACUCACUAGUCGUGUUUCGGGUCAUCACUUGACUCGAUCGAAUCUAGAGUUCCAGUGAACGUUCGGUGACCGAAGGGAGACCUUUGGACUCGCCACUGGCUGCCAAGUCUUUUGGCGGUGGCAACGCAACUAUUGGGAGGCUGGAAGAUGGUGGAUAGGAGAAAAGGUGGCGGUAGCUUAUGGGUUUC